RNAcentral lists this ribosomal RNA (1224 nucleotides) under metagenome. RNAcentral describes it as "bacterial LSU rRNA". It matches the Rfam family "Bacterial large subunit ribosomal RNA", at positions 1694 to 2925 of the family's 2925-position model. The record is from RNAcentral.
CAGAACCUCCGUUAAGGAACUAGGCAAAAUGACCUCGUAACUUCGGGAAAAGAGGUGCUCCUAAAGGUGUCAAAACCGGAAGGAGUUGCAGUGACAAGGCCCUGCCGACUGUUUACCAAAAACACAGGUCUAUGCGAAUUCGGAAAGAAGAAGUAUAUGGACUGACGCCUGCCCAGUGCUGGAAGGUUAAGGGGAGUGGUGCAAGCUACGAACCGAAGCCCCAGUAAACGGCGGCCGUAACAAUAACGGUCCUAAGGUAGCGAAAUUCCUUGUCGGGUAAGUUCCGACCUGCAUGAAUGGCGUAACGAGUUGGGCGCUGUCUCAACGGAGGAUCCGGUGAAAUUCCAGACUGGGUGAAGAUGCCCAGGACCCGCAGUUAGACGGAAAGACCCCAUGAGUUUUACUGUAACUUGAUAUUGUAAUUUGUUGUUAUGUGUACAGGAUAGGUGGGAGGCGGAGAAUCAAGGUCGUCAGAUUUUGAGGAGCCGACGGUGGGAUACCACCCUCAUGAUAAUGGAUUACUAACUAUUGUGUAUGAAGAGUACAGAUAGGACAGUGUUAGGUGGGCAGUUUGACUGGGGCGGUCGCAUCCUAAAGAGUAUCGGAUGCGUGCGAAGGUAGGCUCAGGUCGGUUGGAAAUCAACCGUUGAGUGCAAGGGCAAAAGCCUGCCUGACUGCGAGACUGACAGGUCGAGCAGAAGCGAAAGCUGGUCCUAGUGACCCGGCCGAUCCGAGUGGAAGGGCGGUCGAUCAACGGAUAAAAGUUACCCUGGGGAUAACAGGCUAAUCACGCCCGAGAGUUCACAUCGACGGCGUGGAUUGGCACCUCGAUGUCGGCUCAUCGCAUCCUGGGGCUGAAGCAGGUCCCAAGGGUUGUGCUGUUCGCACAUUAAAGCGGUACGUGAGCUGGGUUCAGAACGUCGUAAGACAGUUCGGUCCCUAUCUGCUGUGGGUGAAGGAAGCUUGAAGGGAGUCGCUCCUAGUACGAGAGGACCGAAGUGAGUGUACCUCUGGUGAACCAGCUGUCAGGCCAAUGGCAGGAGCUGGGUAGCUAAGUACGUAACAGAUAACCGCUGAAAGCAUCUAAGCGGGAAACUGACCCUAAGAUGGAGCUUCCCAUUCGUAAGAAGUAAGGGUUGUUCGAGACUAGGACGUUGAUAGGUCGCAGGUGUAAGUGCAGCGAUGCAUUGAGCCGAGCGAUACUAACAGCCCGAGGCUUUGGCC